RNAcentral lists this ribosomal RNA (539 nucleotides) under uncultured bacterium. RNAcentral's name for it is "bacterial SSU rRNA". It matches the Rfam family "Bacterial small subunit ribosomal RNA", at positions 777 to 1314 of the family's 1533-position model. The record is from RNAcentral.
AAUAGAUACCCCGGUAGUCCACGCCGUAAACGAUGAAUGCUAGGUGUUAGGGGUUUCGAUACCCUUGGUGCCGAAGUUAACACAUUAAGCAUUCCGCCUGGGGAGUACGGCCGCAAGGCUGAAACUCAAAGGAAUUGACGGGGACCCGCACAAGCAGUGGAGUAUGUGGUUUAAUUCGAAGCAACGCGAAGAACCUUACCAGGUCUUGACAUCCCCCUGACCGGUGCAGAGAUGUGCCUUUCCUUCGGGACAGGGGAGACAGGUGGUGCAUGGUUGUCGUCAGCUCGUGUCGUGAGAUGUUGGGUUAAGUCCCGCAACGAGCGCAACCCUUGACUUUAGUUGCCAGCAAGUAAGGUUGGGCACUCUAGAGUGACUGCCGGUGACAAACCGGAGGAAGGUGGGGAUGACGUCAAAUCAUCAUGCCCCUUAUGACCUGGGCUACACACGUACUACAAUGGCCGGUACAACGGGAAGCGAAGGAGCGAUCUGGAGCGAAUCCUUUAAAGCCGGUCUCAGUUCGGAUUGCAGGCUGCAACUCG